AGAGUUUGAUCAUGGCUCAGGAUGAACGCUAGCUACAGGCUUAACACAUGCAAGUCGAGGGGCAGCAUGUUGGUUGCUUGCAACCAAUGAUGGCGACCGGCGCACGGGUGAGUAACGCGUAUCCAACCUACCCUUGUCCAUCGGAUAACCCGUCGAAAGGCGGCCUAACACGAUAUGCGGUUCACAGCAGGCAUCUAAGGUGAACGAAAUGUGAAGGAGAAGGAUGGGGAUGCGUCUGAUUAGCUUGGUUGGCGGGGUAACGGCCACCAAGGCUACGAUCAGUAGGGUUCUGAGAGGAAGUCCCCCANAUUGGAACUGAGACACGGUCCAAACUCCUACGGGAGGCA
RNAcentral lists this ribosomal RNA (347 nucleotides) under uncultured bacterium. Its description in RNAcentral is "bacterial SSU rRNA". It matches the Rfam family "Bacterial small subunit ribosomal RNA", at positions 8 to 350 of the family's 1533-position model. The record is from RNAcentral.